GACAGAGGGUGCAAACGUUGUUCGGAAUUACUGGGCGUAAAGCGCGCGUAGGCGGCUGUCUAAGUCGGGUGUGAAAGCCCCGGGCUCAACCUGGGAACUGCAUUCGAUACUGGACGGCUAGAGUAUGAGAGAGGGAGGUAGAAUUCCACGUGUAGCGGUGAAAUGCGUAGAUAUGUGGAGGAAUACCGGUGGCGAAGGCGGCCUCCUGGUUCAAUACUGACGCUGAGGUGCGAAAGCGUGGGGGAGCAAACAGG
This 254-nucleotide ribosomal RNA is filed under the name uncultured bacterium. RNAcentral describes it as "partial 16S ribosomal RNA". It matches the Rfam family "Bacterial small subunit ribosomal RNA", at positions 524 to 776 of the family's 1533-position model. The record is from RNAcentral.